CGAGUCCUUCGAAAUCUAGGCUGUACCGAUGCAAUCAAGAAUUGAUUGCAAAUGUCAAACGAAAGCUUGAAGUGAAUGAUAUGGCAGGAAUUCCAUUACACAAGAGUUACAACUCUGCAGUGGUGGAAGCAGGUAGUUAUGAGAUUAUGGCUUUCAUCGAGAAAGAUUUUCGAAAUUAUAUUGAACAAGUGCGACGGUUAAGACUCAGAGAAGGAGAUGUCGCCGCAAUACAGGCCUAUUUUUCGAAUAUGCAAGCACAGUGCAUGGAAUUUUACUUCAUUAUAGAUUUAGAUGAGGAGUCCCAACUGAAGAAUGUAUUUUGGGCAGACAACAGGUAUAGGCAAGUAUACAAAGAGUUUGGUGAUGUUGUCACCUUUGAUACAACAUACCUUACUAAUAAGUACGACAUGUCGUUCACCCUAUUUGUUGGCGUCAAUCUCGGUUGUGGCUUGAUAGCUAAUGAGGACACGACUACAUUCGUAUGGCUAUUUCAAACAUGGCUGCAAUGCAUGCACGGUCAAGCACCGCAUGAAAUAAUUGCUGAUCAAGACAGGGCAAUGCAGAAUGCAAUUCAGAUUGUAUUUUCACAUACGACGAAUAGGUGGUGUCUGUAGCAUAUUUUGAAGAAGUUGCUUGAGAAGUUUGGCUAUCACGAUGCUAAGGCUUCAAUCUUUCAUACUAUACAUAGAUUAGUAUAUGAUUCGCAGACCGUUGAAGAUUUCGAAGAAGUAUGGAAGGCGAUGAUUGAUACAUACAAGUUGUAUGACAAUGAUUGGUUGUCGGGAUUGUUUGAAAACAGAGGCUAUUGGAUUCCUUGCUUCUUGAAAGUCACAUUUUGGGCUGGAAUGUCCACAACGCAAAGAAGUGAGAGUGUGAAUGCAUUCUUUGACGGAUAUGUGCAUUCAAAAAUCUCUUUAAAGUAAUUUGUUGAACAAUAUGAAAGAGUACUGCGGACCAAGGUCGAGAAAGAGUUCCAGGCUGAUUUUAAGUCAUACGCGCAAAUGGUACCAUGCGUAACAAAUUUUAAUUUGGAAAAGCAAUUUCAAAAAGUUUACACCAUAUCAAAGUUUAGAAAGGUUUAGAACGAGUUCAUUGGGAAAGUUUAAUAUUACAUUAUAUCUGUUUCAGGGGGAUGUUCGAGGACGAUUUAUGAGGUUUGGGAAGAUGUCCUACUAUAUGGAGAGCAUAGGACGAAAAAAUCUUUUUCGUCUCAUUUACGAAGGAGACGUGUGAUGAUAUUGUUUGUGUUUGCAGCUGUCAUUUAUUCGAGUUUCGAGGGAUACUUUGUCGGCAUGCAUUCACUGUUUUGAUACGUAAUAAUGUCAAGUUAUUGCCGAAAAAGUUUAUAUUGCGAAGAUGAAUGAGGGAUGUUAGUAGAGCGCACACGAGGGUGGCAGUGCACUACGUUGGGUUGGCCAGUAUUCCUGUACAAUUGAGGUAUGACGAUAUAUGUCGGGCAUUUUUCGAGGUGGCUGACCUUGCUGUUGACGAUGAAGCCCAAAGUUCUACAGUAAUGGAUUGGAUGAGCUGAAGUCAAGUUGUUGUACUCAUUCCAAUCAUGUAAUAUCUCACAGAUCGGAUUCUCUAAAUCAUUCUGGCAUCAAUGUACUAAAUUCCCUAUCAUCAAAGCGAAAGGGUGCGCCAAGGAAAUUUUGACGUAAAGGACAGUUGGAUUCAAUGUCGAAGAAAGCAAAGGUAUUUUAUAUUUUAUUCUCUUUCCUUACGAUUUCAACCUGAGUUCGAAUGUAAAUUCUAAUAUGUUUUCGAUGUGACAUGCAAGCAAGUUCGACGAAAGGAAAAGGCAGUAGACCGACUGGUAGACAUAGCACUAUGGAAAAUGGUGUACUAGAUGUUGACGGCUCUGAACAAUGUUCGUCGUUGACGCCAUUGUCAUCUUCGCAACCAUUUUUGGUACGUAUUUUAUUUCAUUUGGUCCGAGCCUUAUUUAGGAUAUUUUGUAAUGUAGGGUGACAGUAGCAACCAACAAUAGUUACAACGAACAGCUGUGGUUGACAUCGAGUGGCUACAAUUUGUCGAGAAAAAGCGAUGAGCCUUCUUUUAGGAAUGGUCAAGGAUAUCUGCGAAUAUUUUGAUUAGUUCUAGGCUGAUUAUGUAUGGUUUGUGCAGAAAUAUAAUUGUAGCCAAUAGCCAUAUAUUCAUAUUGUAUGGCUUGACUAAUUAUGGCCAGUAGCAUCCAUUUUGUAUUUUCAUUUUAUAUGGCUUGACUAACAAUUAUGGCCAAUAGCCAUGAAAUGCCCUAAAUGGAAAUGAUGAGUUCAUGUGUUUACAGUGAAACUAA
RNAcentral lists this long non-coding RNA (2299 nucleotides) under Olea europaea subsp. europaea. Lineage: Eukaryota; Viridiplantae; Streptophyta; Magnoliopsida; Lamiales; Oleaceae. The record is from RNAcentral.